UACGAAGGGGGCUAGCGUUGCUCGGAAUCACUGGGCGUAAAGGGUGCGUAGGCGGGUCUUUAAGUCGGAGGUGAAAUCCUGGAGCUCAACUCCAGAACUGCCUUCGAUACUGAAGAGCUCGAGUCCGGGAGAGGUGAGUGGAACUGCGAGUGUAGAGGUGAAAUUCGUAGAUAUUCGCAAGAACACCAGUGGCGAAGGCGGCUCACUGGCCCGGUACUGACGCUGAGGUGCGAAAGCGUGGGGAGCAAACAGG
This 253-nucleotide ribosomal RNA is filed under the name uncultured bacterium. Its description in RNAcentral is "partial 16S ribosomal RNA". It matches the Rfam family "Bacterial small subunit ribosomal RNA", at positions 524 to 776 of the family's 1533-position model. The record is from RNAcentral.